GGCGCUUGAAGCGUUUCCGGCGCCGCAGGAAGCUGCCGUUGUCGAACAUGUCCUCGGACUGCGGGUCCAGGGUCCAGUAGUUGCCCUUGCCCGGGUUGCCCGGCUCGCGGGGGAUCUUGACGAAGCAGUCGUUGAGUGAGAGGUUGUGGCGGAUGCUGUUCUGCCAGGCGGGGAACUUCUCCCUGUAGUAGGGGAAGCGGUUGCUGAUGAACUCGCAGAUGCCGCUCAGGGUCAGCUUCUUCUGCGGGCUCUGCAGGAUGGCCAUGGUGAUGAGCGCGAUGUACGAGUGUGGACAAAUCCUCCAAGAUUUAACUUCCAAGAAAACCGGCGGCGGAGCGGGUGGAGGAGGCGAGGAUGUGUGGCCAAUGCACGCGGAGUGCAAGGCCGCCUAGUUGGGAGCCGCAAGAGCCUGCCUGGUGUGGCAGGCACACGGAACCCAAUCCCUGUCUGUCCGCUGCGGCCUGGGAGGGGAGCGCCGGCCUCACCAGAGGAAGGAGCACGAGGGGAGGAGUUCCGAGAGGAAAUAAUUAGUGAAAUAUUUGCAGAAGAUGCUGGGAUGUGGAUUUAAUUCCGGAUGGACAGUGGUGCUUCUGAUUCCCUCAGUCUGUUUCCCCACCCACGAUCUCCUCUUUCCUUGGCCUAGACACACCAAAAAUAAUUCAAUAAAAUAAAAAUAAAAAUUUAAAAAUCUGUAAA
Long non-coding RNA from Homo sapiens (human), 696 nucleotides. Ensembl annotates it as FOXD3 antisense RNA 1. Its record names the gene FOXD3-AS1. The record is from Ensembl. NCBI's taxonomy places the organism in Eukaryota, Metazoa, Chordata, Mammalia, Primates, Hominidae.